Molecule: ribosomal RNA, 859 nt
Filed under: uncultured bacterium
Lineage: Bacteria
Description: bacterial SSU rRNA
Rfam family: Bacterial small subunit ribosomal RNA
Source: RNAcentral
CCCUUAGAGUUUGAUCCUGGCUCAGGAUGAACGCUGGCGGCGUGCCUAAUACAUGCAAGUCGAGCGGUAAGGUCCCUUCGGGGGUACACGAGCGGCGGACGGCAGAGUAACACGUAGGAACGUACCCCAAACUGAGGGAUAAGCACCAGAAAUGGUGUCUAAUACCGCAUGUGCUCCACGGAGUAAAGCUACAGCGGUUUGGGAACGGCCUGCGUCCGAUUAGCUAGUUGGUGAGGUAAUAGCUCACCAAGGCGACGAUCGGUAGCUGGUCUGAGAGGAUGAUCAGCCUGACUGGAACUGAGAACGGUCCAGACUCCUACGGGAGGCAGCAGUAGGGAAUUUUCCACAAUGGGGGCAACCCUGAUGGAGCAACGCCGCGUGCAGGAUGAAUGCCUUCGGGUUGUAAGCUGCUUUUAUCUGUGACGAAUAUGACGGUAGCAGAUGAAUAAGGAUCGGCUAACUCCGUGCCAGCAGCCGCGGUCAUACGGAGGAUCCAAGCGUUAUCCGGAAUUACUGGGCGUAAAGAGUUGCGUAGGUGGCAGAGUAAGUUGGUAGUGAAAGCGUGCGGCUCAACCGCAUAAACAUUACUAAAACUGCUCAGCUAGAGGAUGAGAGAGGUCGCUGGAAUUUCUUGUGUAGGAGUGAAAUCCGUAGAUAUAAGAAGGAACACCGAUGGCGUAGCAGGCGACUGGCUCAUUCCUGACACUAAGCACGAAAGCGUGGGGAGCAAACGGGAUUAGAUACCCCGGUAGUCCACGCCGUAAACGAUGGAUGCUAGCUGUUACAGUAUCGACCCUGUUAGUAGCGAAGCUACGCGUAAGCAUCCCGCCUGUGGAGUACGGUCGCAGACUAAACAUAA